RNAcentral lists this ribosomal RNA (511 nucleotides) under uncultured bacterium. Its description in RNAcentral is "bacterial SSU rRNA". It matches the Rfam family "Bacterial small subunit ribosomal RNA", at positions 19 to 518 of the family's 1533-position model. The record is from RNAcentral.
CUGGCUCAGGAUGAACGCUAGCUACAGGCUUAACACACGCAAGUCGAGGGGCAGCAUAACGAAAGCUUGCUUUGUUGAUGGCGACCGGCGCACGGGUGAGUAACGCGUAUCCAACCUUCCCCAUAGUAGAGGAUAGCCCGGCGAAAGUCGGAUUAAUACUCUAUGUUGUAUUUUUGAGGACAUCUGACGAAUACCAAAGAUUGAUCGCUAUGGGAUGGGGAUGCGUCUGAUUAGCUUGUUGGCGGGGUAACGGCCCACCAAGGCGACGAUCAGUAGGGGUUCUGAGAGGAAGGUCCCCCACAUUGGUACUGAGACACGGACCAAACUCCUACGGGAGGCAGCAGUGAGGAAUAUUGGUCAAUGGGCGAGAGCCUGAACCAGCCAAGUAGCGUGCAGGAAUGACUGCCCUAUGGGUUGUAAACUGCUUUUAUGCGGGAAUAAAGUCAGGUACGCGUACCUGUUUGUAUGUACCGCAUGAAUAAGGACCGGCUAAUUCCGUGCCAGCCGCAGC